GCCGAAGUGGUGGAAUUGGCAGACACACCAUCUUGAGGGGGUGGCGGUUUUACCGUGGGGGUUCGAGUCCCCCC
RNAcentral lists this transfer RNA (74 nucleotides) under Candidatus Schekmanbacteria bacterium RBG_16_38_10. RNAcentral describes it as "tRNA-Leu". It matches the Rfam family "tRNA". From Rfam's summary of the family: Transfer RNA (tRNA) molecules are approximately 80 nucleotides in length. Lineage: Bacteria; Candidatus Schekmaniibacteriota. The record is from RNAcentral.